GCCGGGUGUGGUGGCUCACGCCUGUAAUCCCGGCACUUUGGGAGGCUGAGACGGGUGGAUCACCUGAGGUCAGGACUUCGAGACCAGCCUGGCCAACAUGGUGAAACCCCAUCUCUA
RNAcentral lists this small RNA (117 nucleotides) under Macaca mulatta (Rhesus monkey). RNAcentral describes it as "Metazoan signal recognition particle RNA (ENSMMUG00000057990.1)". The record is from Rfam by way of RNAcentral. Lineage: Eukaryota; Metazoa; Chordata; Mammalia; Primates; Cercopithecidae.